CAGCCGCCGCGGGAAUACGUAGGGUGCAAGCGUUAAUCGGAAUUACUGGGCGUAAAGCGUGCGCAGGCGGUUUGUUAAGACAGAUGUGAAAUCCCCGGGCUCAGCCUGGGAACUGCAUUUGUGACUGGCAAGCUAGAGUGUGGCAGAGGGGGGUGGAAUUCCGCGUGUAGCAGUGAAAUGCGCAGAUAUGCGGAGGAACACCGAUGGCGAAGGCAGCCCCCUGGGCCAACACUGACGCUCAUGCACGAAAGCGUGGGGAGCAUACAGGAUUAGAUACCCGAGUAGUCCCUGUCUCUUAUAC
RNAcentral lists this ribosomal RNA (301 nucleotides) under uncultured bacterium. RNAcentral describes it as "partial 16S ribosomal RNA". It matches the Rfam family "Bacterial small subunit ribosomal RNA", at positions 509 to 807 of the family's 1533-position model. The record is from RNAcentral.